AAGGAUCAUUACCACUGGUCGUUUUACACGACUAGCCAAAACGCGUACCCUGGCAAAGUAAGCAAUUACUUGGCCUGUGAUUAACUUUUACCGGUUAAUUACAAACACUUUCAUUUUUUAAACCAUUCUCACGAUUAUAUCUCUGAUGCCAAGUGAUAACUUCGAAAGGAGUUUCACGUUGUUUAAUUGAAAACAACUCUUAACAACGGAUAUCUUGGCUCUC
Molecule: unclassified non-coding RNA, 223 nt
Filed under: uncultured fungus
Lineage: Eukaryota; Fungi
Description: partial contains 18S rRNA, ITS1, 5.8S rRNA, ITS2 and 28S rRNA
Source: RNAcentral